GCUGGUGUAGCUCAGUUGGUAGAGCGCGUCAUUGGUAAUGACGAGGUUCAUGGGUCCGACUCCCAUCACCAGCU
This 74-nucleotide transfer RNA is filed under the name Clostridium sp. CAG:226. It matches the Rfam family "tRNA". Rfam says of the family: Transfer RNA (tRNA) molecules are approximately 80 nucleotides in length. Their secondary structure includes four short double-helical elements and three loops (D, anti-codon, and T loops). The record is from Rfam by way of RNAcentral. Lineage: Bacteria; Bacillati; Bacillota; Clostridia; Eubacteriales; Clostridiaceae.